UACGUACUCCUUCGGUUCCGAAUUACUUGUCGCAAGUAUGGAUGUAUCUAGAUGUAUUUUAGUUGUAGAUACAUCCAUUUUUACGACGAGUAAUUUGGAACGGAGGAAGUACAUC
This is a non-coding RNA of Triticum aestivum (bread wheat), 115 nucleotides long. NCBI's taxonomy places the organism in Eukaryota, Viridiplantae, Streptophyta, Magnoliopsida, Poales, Poaceae. The record is from Rfam.